GGUGGACCUCGGAUCAGGUAGGGAUACCCGCUGA
This 34-nucleotide ribosomal RNA is filed under the name Caliciopsis pinea. RNAcentral's name for it is "partial 28S ribosomal RNA". Lineage: Eukaryota; Fungi; Ascomycota; Eurotiomycetes; Coryneliales; Coryneliaceae. The record is from RNAcentral.